AUUGAACGCUGGCGGCAUGCUUUACACAUGCAAGUCGAUCGAGUGGAGAACGGGUGAGUAAUGUAUCGGAACGUGCCGAGUAAUGGGGGAUAACUGAUCGAAACGAUAGCUAAUACCGCAUAGUAUUCCAUCGGCCGAUGUCGGAUUAGCUGGUAGGUGGGGUAAAGGCCCACCAAGGCGACGAUCAGGAGCGGGUCUGAGAGGAUGAUCAGCCACACGGGGACUGAGACACGGCCCAGACGCCGACGGGAGGCAGCAGUGGGGAAUUUGGGACAAGGGGCGCAAGCCUGAUCCAGCCAUGCCGCGUGUCUGAAGAAGGCCUUCGGGUUGUAAAGGACUUUUGGCAGGGAAGCGGUACCUGAAGAAUAAGCACCGGCUAACUACGUGCCAGCAGCCGCGGUAAUUC
RNAcentral lists this ribosomal RNA (406 nucleotides) under uncultured bacterium. RNAcentral describes it as "partial 16S ribosomal RNA". It matches the Rfam family "Bacterial small subunit ribosomal RNA", at positions 30 to 526 of the family's 1533-position model. The record is from RNAcentral.